Molecule: small nuclear RNA, 23 nt
Filed under: Arabidopsis thaliana (thale cress)
Lineage: Eukaryota; Viridiplantae; Streptophyta; Magnoliopsida; Brassicales; Brassicaceae
Description: snRNA_09862
Source: RNAcentral
AGCUUUUACGAUGCUGAGCUUAU